CUGUCACUUGGAGUUUUUGUAUAUUUUUGAAAGAAACUUAGCAUACAUUUUUAUCCUCAUAGGUUCUCUUAGAUAUAUCUCACUGAGGUUGUUUUAAUUUGCAAAAAUUCUCAAGCAUACUUACUUUGCAUUUAUUGCCUGAUCAAAACGGGAUCCGAGAAGGGGAAUGUCAUACUCUUAGAUCAAAGACUUUGGAAAUUAAAAUCUUUGUCAACUCUUACUGGCAUAUUGCUUAUUAGAGGGACCAUGGGCUAUCAUUUUCUUUUUCUCUUUUUUUAAGUGGAUGCCGAGGCACCCCUAAUUCUACUGCCGGACACUUGUCCAUUUUUUCUGUGAGGUUGUCGAGCACUUGCUCUUUUUUAUUUCCUCAAAAUAUCUUUAUUUUUGCAUAGCCCAUGCGUCUAAUGCAAUAAUACUUCGGAAGAGUGAAUCUUUCUGAAUAAAUGUCUUGAUCUUAGGAGCAUGAUAAAUCUCUCAACAAGGGUCUAACUCAUUUUGAACAAACUCAAUACAGAGUAGAUAGCUUUUAUAAUCAUAAUUAAUAUUUUCAGUUUUAUUAGGAAUAUAAAACACUGAGGAUG
Molecule: long non-coding RNA, 581 nt
Filed under: Sorghum bicolor (sorghum)
Lineage: Eukaryota; Viridiplantae; Streptophyta; Magnoliopsida; Poales; Poaceae
Description: long non-coding RNA (SBIC_LNC004723)
Source: RNAcentral